RNAcentral lists this non-coding RNA (52 nucleotides) under Ditylum brightwellii. Lineage: Eukaryota; Bacillariophyta; Thalassiosirophyceae; Lithodesmiales; Lithodesmiaceae. The record is from RNAcentral.
AAAACAAAGAAAAAGAAGAAAGAAAAAAAAAUGAAACUUGCUAUUGCAUCCG